AACGAACGCUGGCGGCGCGCCUAAUACAUGCAAGUCGAGCGAGAAGACGUAGCAAUACGUUUGUAAAGCGGCGAACGGGUGAGGAAUACAUGGGUAACCUACCCUCGAGUGGGGAAUAACUAGCCGAAAGGUUAGCUAAUACCGCGUACGCUCCUUGGACUUCGGUUCAGGGAGGAAAGCGAUACCGUGGGUAUCGCGCUCUUGGAUGGGCUCAUGUCCUAUCAGCUUGUUGGUGAGGUAACGGCUCACCAAGGCUUCGACGGUAGCUGGUCUGAGAGGACGAUCAGCCACACUGGCACUGCGACACGGGCCAGACUCCUACGGGAGGCAGCAGUAAGGAAUAUUGCGCAAUGGGCGAAAGCCUGACGCAGCGACGCCGCGU
This 382-nucleotide ribosomal RNA is filed under the name uncultured bacterium. RNAcentral's name for it is "bacterial SSU rRNA". It matches the Rfam family "Bacterial small subunit ribosomal RNA", at positions 29 to 402 of the family's 1533-position model. The record is from RNAcentral.